This 253-nucleotide ribosomal RNA is filed under the name uncultured bacterium. RNAcentral's name for it is "partial 16S ribosomal RNA". It matches the Rfam family "Bacterial small subunit ribosomal RNA", at positions 524 to 776 of the family's 1533-position model. The record is from RNAcentral.
UACGUAGGUGACGAGCGUUGUCCGGAUUUACUGGGCGUAAAGAGCGCGCAGGCGGUCGUUCAAGUCGGGCGUGAAAUGCCGGGGCUCAACCCCGGGACUGCGUCCGAUACUUCCGAGCUGGAGGUAGGUAGGGGAGAUCGGAAUUCCUGGUGUAGCGGUGAAAUGCGCAGAUAUCAGGAGGAACACCGGUGGCGAAGGCGGAUCUCUGGGCCUUACCUGACGCUGAGGCGCGAAAGCUAGGGGAGCGAACAGG